RNAcentral lists this ribosomal RNA (193 nucleotides) under uncultured bacterium. RNAcentral describes it as "partial 16S ribosomal RNA". It matches the Rfam family "Bacterial small subunit ribosomal RNA", at positions 1308 to 1500 of the family's 1533-position model. The record is from RNAcentral.
CAACUCGACUACAUGAAGCUGGAAUCGCUAGUAAUCGCGAAUCAGAAUGUCGCGGUGAAUACGUUCCCGGGUCUCGUACACACCGCCCGUCACACCAUGGGAGUCGGAAAUGCCCGAAGUCAGUGACCUAACCGAGAGGGAGGAGCUGCCGAAGGUGGAGCCGGUAACUGGGGUGAAGUCGUAACAAGGUAAC